GUACUUACAAUUACCGUACGCGUAACCUACGGUGGCCUAAGGUGCAUCANGCGUUUUAAUAGCAGCUCGCGCUACAAGUUAUAGAAAGUCCAACAAACCACAAUGACGGUUAUAGCGGGCUAGUUUUGUUAUUCAUUUAAAACAAUGUAGUUCAAGGCAAAAUCCCUAAUGUAGUUAAAGUAAGGUGCCCUUCCGUAAAAAAGCUAAAAAUAUUGCGCUAUGUUGUUCCCCUUUAGGGGAAGGCAAAGCAAAAAAAAUACCCCCUCGGAAAGCCUGUGUUCACGCACGUUGUAGCUUUUCAUCCCCUCCGGGUUACCAAAGGGGACAACGUCGUUAAGCCUAGUUGUAGUAAACGAAGUGCCACGAACUCAUUGCAGUUUAACUACGUUUAAUUUUUUACCAUAAAGCAAAGAUUUUAUCUUAUUUUAAAUAUUAAAAACAUACGUAACGUGAAAAAUAUUGCUAUGUUCUUUGAUCUUCCGGUGCUAUGCUAUGCACCGUCAUAGUCCUGGUAUAUUAUAGUACUGGUAUAUUAUAGUAUUAUUAAGGAAACUCAAAAAAAAUACAUUUAAUAAAUAAAAUUACUAUAAAAAUGUAUAAAAUCAGCAAUGUCUGAGUAAAAAAGCUUUGAGUGAGUUCUUUUUUGUUUUUUAGUUUACUGUAUUAAUUUAAAUCGAAAUUAAAUCCUAGAUGUACCUAGCAAUAUGAACUUUGUUAUAAACUUCCAUUCACGUGUUACUUUACAACGAUAAGCCAAGCCAGCUGGAAGUUAUUUUUUGUUGUUAAACUACAUUCCACAAGUUAUGAACAACGGUCUACGUCACGGGGUUCCCAGUCUAAUGUACCUUAACUAAGUUAGNN
RNAcentral lists this long non-coding RNA (861 nucleotides) under Volvox carteri. RNAcentral describes it as "long non-coding RNA (VCAR_LNC004242)". Lineage: Eukaryota; Viridiplantae; Chlorophyta; Chlorophyceae; Chlamydomonadales; Volvocaceae. The record is from RNAcentral.